This is a long non-coding RNA of Silurus meridionalis, 727 nucleotides long. RefSeq lists it as uncharacterized. The record is from RefSeq and is a predicted model, not a curated record. The transcript has 3 exons. NCBI's taxonomy places the organism in Eukaryota, Metazoa, Chordata, Actinopteri, Siluriformes, Siluridae.
GUUUGUGUUUGCUCUGAAUUUUGUACACAUUAAAGUUCUGAGUGUUUUCUUUGUGUAUUUGGUGCUAUCUAACAUUGACUUGUUCUGCUUUUUUUUGUAAUUUUUUAUAUAUUUUUUGUUUCAUGCACUUCCUGCUCUUGUGUCAGUUUAUGGAAAUAAUUAGUGUUAGUUUGAAGAUAAAAACAGUUUGGGCAAAAACAGAGCCAUGGAGAGGAUGAGACAAGAGAGCAAAGUGAUCUUCUGUGUCUGUGAAACCAACAUUUUGGAUAAACAAGAGAAUUUGAAGAUUAAACCAGAUUUACAGCGACGUCAUCACUUAAUAACGUCUCCACUCCCGCAUUAAUCCAUCAUCCAUCAUUCCCAAGCAUAAUGAGUAAAUGAUGAGGCUGGACCACUUCCUGCUGGAGGAACAGACGCUCGCUGAAUGUCACAUCUCGCCCACAGUGCUGCCGCUGCUGCUGCACUCCUGGUAAUUUUAGGAAGGGAAUUAGACACUCUGUGUGUGUGUGUAAAACCUGUACUGAACAAUAAAAGGUCAGCAUGCAUGUGUUGGCCAUCUGCACUUGUAAGAUGCAGGAUUUGAAAGUUGAAUAAUGCUGGCUUAAUUGUACAAUUACAGGUCAAAUGUAACAUUCAGCUAAUUCACUGUUUUUUGUUAUGUGUUGAUUUGUAGUUAAGCAACGUUAUAAUAUAUAAACCCUACCUCCAAUAUAACAACCUUACAGAA